ACGCUAGCUACAGGCUUAACACAUGCAAGUCGUGGGGCAGCGGAUGCUUAGCUUGCUAAGUAUGCCGGCGACCGGCGCACGGGUGAGUAACGCGUACCGAACCUGCCCAUCACACAGGGAUAGGCUCGCGAAAGCAAGAUUAAUACCUGAUGGUCUCAGUUGUAUGCAUGCAUGAUUGAGUAAAGCCUUCGGGCGGUGAUGGAUGGCGGUGCGUCCCAUUAGGAAGUUGGCGGGGUAACGGCCCACCAAUCCUUCGAUGGGUAGGGGUUCUAAGAGGAAGGUCCCCCACAUUGGAACUGAGAUACGGUCCAAACUCCUACGGGAGGCAGCAGUGAGGAAUAUUGGUCAAUGGGCGGGAGCCUGGACCAGCCAAGUAGCGUGCGGGAUGAAGGCCCUUGUGGUCGUAAACCGCUUUUAUCAGUGAAUAAAGUGCACCACGUGUGGUGUCAUUGCAGGUAGCUGAAGAAAAAGGACCGGCUAAUUCCGUGCCAGCAGCCGCGGUAAUACGGAAGGUCCGGGCGUUAUCCGGAAUUAUUGGGUUUAAAGGGAGCGCAGGCGGGAGUGUAAGUCAGCUGUUAAAUAUCAGGGCCCAACUCUGUUAUGCAGUUGAAACUAUAUUUCUUGAGUACGCACAGGGAUGGCGGAAUUCAGGGUGUAGCGGUGAAAUGCUUAGAUAUCCUGAAGAACUCCGAUCGCGAAGGCAGCCAUCCGGAGCGUAACUGACGCUGAGGCUCGAAGGUGCGGGUAUCGAACAGGAUUAGAUACCCUGGUAGUCCGCACGGUAAACGAUGAAUACUCGCAGUUCGGUCAUUAUGAUUGAGUUGUCCAGCGAAAGCGUUAAGUAUUCCACCUGGGGAGUACGCCGGCAACGGUGAAACUCAAAGGAAUAGACGGGGGCCCGC
Molecule: ribosomal RNA, 902 nt
Filed under: uncultured bacterium
Lineage: Bacteria
Description: bacterial SSU rRNA
Rfam family: Bacterial small subunit ribosomal RNA
Source: RNAcentral